Molecule: ribosomal RNA, 331 nt
Filed under: uncultured eukaryote
Lineage: Eukaryota
Description: partial 18S ribosomal RNA
Rfam family: Eukaryotic small subunit ribosomal RNA
Source: RNAcentral
CCCUUAGAUGUUCUGGGCCGCACGCGCGCUACACUGUUCGACGCAGCGAGUCUUAACCUUGACCGAAAGGUUUGGGUAAUCUUCAGCAAAGUCGAACGUGAUGGGGAUCGAUCAUUGCAAUUAUUGAUCAUGAACGAGGAAUUCCUAGUAAGUGCAAGUCAUCAGCUUGCGCUGAUUACGUCCCUGCCCUUUGUACACACCGCCCGUCGCUACUACCGAUUGAAUGGUUUAGUGAGAUCUCUGGAUUGACGCUGGCUAGGGGGCGACCCUUGGCCAGACUGUUGAGAAACUGCUCAAACUUGAUCAUUUAGAGGAAGUAAAAGUCGUAACA